This 476-nucleotide ribosomal RNA is filed under the name uncultured Sphingobacteriales bacterium. Its description in RNAcentral is "bacterial SSU rRNA". It matches the Rfam family "Bacterial small subunit ribosomal RNA", at positions 903 to 1382 of the family's 1533-position model. Lineage: Bacteria; Pseudomonadati; Bacteroidota; Sphingobacteriia; Sphingobacteriales. The record is from RNAcentral.
AAAGGAAUUGACGGGGCCCGCACAAGCGGUGGAGCAUGUGGUUUAAUUCGAUGAUACGCGAGGAACCUUACCUGGGCUCAAAUGUAUGUUGACGUAUUCUGAAAGGGAUACUUCUUCGGACAAUAUACAAGGUGCUGCAUGGUUGUCGUCAGCUCGUGCCGUGAGGUGUCGGGUUAAGUCCCAUAACGAGCGCAACCCCUACCUUUAGUUGCCAUCAGGUAAUGCUGGGGACUCUAAAGGAACUGCCUACGCAAGUAGUGAGGAAGGCGGGGAUGACGUCAAAUCAGCACGGCCCUUACGUCCAGGGCUACACACGUGCUACAAUGGCCGAUACAGAGGGCAGCUACCUGGUGACAGGAUGCAAAUCUCCAAAGUCGGUCUCAGUUCGGAUCGGAGUCUGCAACCCGACUCCGUGAAGUUGGAUUCGCUAGUAAUCGCGCAUCAGCCAUGGCGCGGUGAAUACGUUCCCGGGCCUU